This 366-nucleotide ribosomal RNA is filed under the name uncultured bacterium. RNAcentral describes it as "partial 16S ribosomal RNA". It matches the Rfam family "Bacterial small subunit ribosomal RNA", at positions 338 to 701 of the family's 1533-position model. The record is from RNAcentral.
CCUACGGGAGGCUGCAGUGAGGAAUAUUGGUCAAUGGACGAGAGUCUGAACCAGCCAAGUAGCGUGAAGGAUGACGGCCCUAUGGGUGGUAAACUUCAUUUAUAUGGGAAUAAAAUGUGCCACGUGAGGGAUUUUGUAUGUACCAUAUGAAUAAGGAUCGGCUAACUCCGUGCCAGCAGCCGCGGUAAUACGGAGGAUCCGGGCGUUAUCCGGAUUUAGUGGGGUGAAAGGGAGCGUAGGGGGAUUGUUAAGUCAGUGGUGAAAGUUUGCGGCUAAACCGUAAACUUGCAGUUGAAACGUGCAGUCUUGAUUCCAGUAGCGUUGGGCGGCCUUCGUGGUGUAGCGGUGACAUUCUUCGAUUUCACG